This 21-nucleotide microRNA is filed under the name Physcomitrium patens. Its description in RNAcentral is "ppt-miR1076-5p". Lineage: Eukaryota; Viridiplantae; Streptophyta; Bryopsida; Funariales; Funariaceae. The record is from miRBase by way of RNAcentral.
UAUCACAAGGUGCGAUAAUUG